CAGAGGGUGCAAGCGUUGUUCGGAAUUAUUGGGCGUAAAGCGCGUGUAGGCGGCUUAGCAAGUCGGGCGUGAAAGCCCUCGGCUCAACCGAGGAAGUGCACCCGAAACUGCUGAGCUUGAGUGCCGGAGAGGAUGGCGGAAUUCCCCAAGUAGAGGUGAAAUUCGUAGAUAUGGGGAGGAACACCGGUGGCGAAGGCGGCCAUCUGGACGGUAACUGACGCUGAGACGCGAAAGCGUGGGGAGCAAACAGGAUUAGAUACCCUGGUAGUCCACGCCGUAAACGAUGAGAACUAGAUGUCGCGGGUGUUGACCCCUGCGGUGUCGCAGCUAACGCAUUAAGUUCUCCGCCUGGGAAGUACGGUCGCAAGAUUA
RNAcentral lists this ribosomal RNA (372 nucleotides) under uncultured organism. RNAcentral's name for it is "bacterial SSU rRNA". It matches the Rfam family "Bacterial small subunit ribosomal RNA", at positions 526 to 896 of the family's 1533-position model. The record is from RNAcentral.